This 468-nucleotide ribosomal RNA is filed under the name uncultured bacterium. Its description in RNAcentral is "partial 16S ribosomal RNA". It matches the Rfam family "Bacterial small subunit ribosomal RNA", at positions 28 to 507 of the family's 1533-position model. The record is from RNAcentral.
GACGAACGCUGGCGGCGUGCUUAACACAUGCAAGUCGAACGGAAAGGCCCUGCUUUUGUGGGGUGCUCGAGUGGCGAACGGGCGAGUAACACGUGAGUCACCUGCCCUUGACUUUGGUAUAACUUCAGGAAACUGGGGCUAAUACCGGAUAGGAGCUCCUGCUGCAUGGUGGGGGUUGGAAAGUUUCGGCGGUUGGGGAUGGACUCGCUGCCUAUCAGCUUGUUGGUGGGGUAGUGGCUUACCAAGGCUUUGACGGGAAGCCGGCCUGAGAGGGUGACCGGCCACAUGGGGACUGAGAUACGGCCCAGAGUCCUACGGGAGGCAGCAGUGGGGAAUAUUGCACAAUGGGCGGAAGCCGGAUGCAGCAACGCCGCGUGCGGGAUGACGGCCUUCGGGUUGUAAACCGCUUUCGCCUGUGACGAUGCGUGAGUGACGGUAAUGGGUAAAGAAGCACCGGCUAACUACGUG